GAAACUAACAAGGAUUCCCCUAGUAGCGGCGAGCGAAGCGGGAAGAGCUCAAAUUUAUAAUCUGGCACCUUCGGUGUCCGAGUUGUAAUCUCUAGAAAUGUUUUCCGCGUUGGACCGCACACAAGUCUGUUGGAAUACAGCGGCAUAGUGGUGAGACCCCCGUAUAUGGUGCGGACGCCCAGCGCUUUGUGAUACAUUUUCGAAGAGUCGAGUUGUUUGGGAAUGCAGCUCAAAUUGGGUGGUAAAUUCCAUCUAAAGCUAAAUAUUGGCGAGAGACCGAUAGCGAACAAGUACCGUGAGGGAAAGAUGAAAAGCACUUUGGAAAGAGAGUUAACAGUACGUGAAAUUGUUGGAAGGGAAACGCUUGAAGUCAGACUUGCUUGCCGAGCAAUCGGUUUGCAGGCCAGCAUCAGUUUUCCGGGAUGGAUAAUGGUAGAGAGAAGGUAGCAGUUUCGGCUGUGUUAUAGCUCUCUGCUGGAUACAUCUUGGGGGACUGAGGAACGCAGUGUGCCUUUGGCGGGGGUUU
This 526-nucleotide ribosomal RNA is filed under the name Rhodotorula glutinis. RNAcentral's name for it is "eukaryotic LSU rRNA". It matches the Rfam family "Eukaryotic large subunit ribosomal RNA", at positions 61 to 583 of the family's 3401-position model. The record is from RNAcentral. RNAcentral also lists the same sequence under 1 other name. Lineage: Eukaryota; Fungi; Basidiomycota; Microbotryomycetes; Sporidiobolales; Sporidiobolaceae.